Molecule: ribosomal RNA, 465 nt
Filed under: uncultured Klebsiella sp.
Lineage: Bacteria; Pseudomonadati; Pseudomonadota; Gammaproteobacteria; Enterobacterales; Enterobacteriaceae
Description: bacterial SSU rRNA
Rfam family: Bacterial small subunit ribosomal RNA
Source: RNAcentral
CCUACUGGUGGCUGCAGUGGGGAAUAUUGCACAAUGGGCGCAAGCCUGAUGCAGCCAUGCCGCGUGUGUGAAGAAGGCCUUCGGGUUGUAAAGCACUUUCAGCGGGGAGGAAGGCGGUGAGGUUAAUAACCUCAUCGAUUGACGUUACCCGCAGAAGAAGCACCGGCUAACUCCGUGCCAGCAGCCGCGGUAAUACGGAGGGUGCAAGCGUUAAUCGGAAUUACUGGGCGUAAAGCGCACGCAGGCGGUCUGUCAAGUCGGAUGUGAAAUCCCCGGGCUCAACCUGGGAACUGCAUUCGAAACUGGCAGGCUAGAGUCUUGUAGAGGGGGGUAGAAUUCCAGGUGUAGCGGUGAAAUGCGUAGAGAUCUGGAGGAAUACCGGUGGCGAAGGCGGCCCCCUGGACAAAGACUGACGCUCAGGUGCGAAAGCGUGGGGAGCAAACAGGAUUAGAUACCCCUGUAGUA